RNAcentral lists this ribosomal RNA (457 nucleotides) under Alebroides parafuscus. RNAcentral describes it as "partial large subunit ribosomal RNA". The record is from RNAcentral. Lineage: Eukaryota; Metazoa; Arthropoda; Insecta; Hemiptera; Cicadellidae.
AUAUUCUGCCCUAUGAUUAAUUGAAUUAAAUGGCUGCAGUAUAUUAACUGUGCUAAGGUAGCAUAAUAAUUAGUCUUUUAAUUGAGGACUUGUAUGAAUGAAUACAUGAGGAAUUUAUUAUAUAUUUUUUAUAAAAUGAAUUUUAUUUUUUUGUUAAAAAGCUUAAUUAUAUUAAUGGGACGAUAAGACCCUAUAGAACUUUAAUCAAUGUAAUUUAAAUUAAUUUAUUUUAAUAAUUUUAUUAACCUUGAUUUUUACUGGGGUAGUAAAUAAAUGUUAAUUUUAUUUUUUAUCUUCAUUAAUUUAUGUAUUUAAGAUUUAUUAAUUAAAUAUAAGUUUAAGUUACCUUAGGGAUAACAGCGUAAUUUUUAUGGAGAGUUCAUAUCUAUAUAAAAGUUUGCGACCUCGAUGUUGAAUUAAGAUUAAUGGGAGGGGUAGAUUUUUCCACAUUUAAGUC